UCAAAUAAACUGACCACAGCAGAAUAUGUUACUAUGCUGCUUUGACGCGCAUCGGGUUGGUGUUCAGGUCUGCAUUCUGUUGCUGCGUAAUAUGUUCUAAAACUGGUGUAAAAUGUUGCUGGCCAUUCAAAUGAAUACCCCUCAUGAAUGCUGUGUUGUUAAAAUGCAUUUAACAUGACUUCAUUUCAAAAUUUCUCUCAACACCCCAGAAUCUGACUGACUUCCAGCGUCCCUGUCUAAGGUGCAUUCAUUACCAAAUUUCUGGUUCUUUCUAUGUUUCUCUCUUUUUUUAUUUUUUGUUUUGUGCAAAAUAUGUCAGUAUUUUAUCAUGAAGGUUUCGACUGGAUGAUUCACAGUCCUGGAUGUAAACUACUCUAGCCUAAUUUGCAACAACAGACACAGACAUGUAUCACUAUAUUAUGCAGAUCGGUUAGUCCAGAAGUCUUCACAGGGGUUGGGAGAGUUUAUUCUAAGCAGUGGUAAUUUAAUAUGUUAUGUAAAGAGAGGCUCUUUGAAGGGAUCUUGAUCGGUAACUUUGCAGGGAAAAGCGGCAGGUCUCUGACAUACAGUCAUGAUUUAUGUAAGGAACUGGGCAUGAGGCCUUAUCUGAGCCUGUCUGUAUGAAUUAUGGGAGCAGCUAAUAGAAGUUUCUCAUCCUAACAUCCUCCAGGUACAGUUUCUCAGACCCACCCGGUUUUCUCAAGCUGCCAUAAAUGAUUAAAUUUAAAACAUCCUGAAUGUUCCCUUUUCUCUUCCCCCAACCCGGUUGGAUUUCAGUCUCGCCCCAGACACUGGCCUACUUCAAAUAACAUGGUAGUAAUAAUAAUUGGUUUUGUGUUGGACCCAAUGUCUGACAUACAGGCAAUGGCUCCUGUUUUCCUUCUUCAUUAGUGGAAGACAGUGGUACUAAUGUUUUUUUUAAAAUGUUUUCUCAGUGUGGAGGUUAAGCCAAAAUGUGCUGCAUUAGGCUGCUGCCAUGUUGCACGAGUGACCUGAUUUGGAGCCAGAUUCUGUGCUGUAAUGAACGCGGAGUGGAGCCGCGGUGUCGAUGUCCUGCUGUGUACCCACCUGACCAAUCACAAGUCAAUCUCAGCUAGUUUUAUUGUGAAGGUGAAACCCGGACUCUGUACUCGCUGAAGUACGGCGGCCUCGUCACCGGUGUGUCGGGACCAUCGGUGCUGCUGGCUUGACAGUGGAGCCAGAGGCAGGGACUCUGCACCGCGACACUUCAUCUUACUGAUCAAUUAACCCGGAGCUGUCAUUCUAUUAAUACACAGGUACGUCCCUAUAUUUACAUAAUGUCUGAUAAUUGGUCAAACUCUCAGGGGCAUGACAAUGAGGGGACACAGACUUUAUGUGCAAAGACCAUGUAACUUAUUGUAGUUUAUUCUCAAAUAGGUCAGGUUGUUGUAGUUCAAUUAACCCUUUCACAGGUCAGGAAAUGUUACCGUGAAAAGAUGAUGUUGUUGAGUGUGUGUAUUCUGUGUAGUGU
RNAcentral lists this long non-coding RNA (1492 nucleotides) under Scophthalmus maximus (turbot). RNAcentral describes it as "lncRNA (ENSSMAG00000037729.1)". Lineage: Eukaryota; Metazoa; Chordata; Actinopteri; Pleuronectiformes; Scophthalmidae. The record is from RNAcentral.